Long non-coding RNA from Acinonyx jubatus (cheetah), 1139 nucleotides. RefSeq lists it as uncharacterized. Lineage: Eukaryota; Metazoa; Chordata; Mammalia; Carnivora; Felidae. The transcript has 3 exons. The record is from RefSeq and is a predicted model, not a curated record.
GGGAACUCCUUUAGGUCAGGGAUCAUGGUCUUAGCUCCGAGUCGCAAUGCUCUGUGCAGUGACUGGUACAUGACAGGUGCCAAAUUCAUGUACACUGAGUUGAACUAUAGACCCUUCUACAGCAUCUCUGCUUCCAAGUAUAGGCUUCAGCUGGGCAGAGGGGCUGUGGGUCCUACCUGGGUGUCAUUCUUCAGUGCAGCGAGGAUUCUUGACCGCAGCGUCUGGCUAAGGGGCUGAGACAGGAGCAGGACAGUGAAGAUGGCUGCGAAAGCAGGGGAUUUCUGCUCCAAGCGCUCCCCGUCCUCCAUCGAAUGAUGUAGGUUUCACACAGAUCCUUUCCACUCUGCUCUCAAGGGAUGCGAAAGAUUCGGAUGUCAGCUUUCCUCCCGAAGGGUUUCAGAAUCAGACUGAUUGCUCUGUCUCGGCCAGUACCUUCCAGAUUCUCUCAGAGGGACCUCCUGAUGGUGUUCAGAUGGAAGGUGUCAGUGUUUCACAGCAAACGCAAUAACGAGGCCCCAUGCUUCCCAAGAACCAUUAAAUUCAACUGGAUUUCAGCAACUGGUGAGGUUACCUCAGCAAAGGCUUGUUUACAUGCGGCUUGAAACGGGUUCCCCUCUGAGCAGUUCAGCACAUUGUCAAACCAGUCUUGACUUGAAAGACAUAUGGCAUCAGCAUGGAAGAUGUCAUGUAAGUUGCCCCCACCCCCACCCCCAAGAUUUUCGAAAGAUGUUACAUCCUGCAUCUGGGGCCUGCAGAGCUGAGGUGGUGGAGAGCAGGCAGCUCUGCAGGGGAAGCUGCCAGGGGGCCGGAGACCCCAUCUGGAGAAGGUCCUGAGCUGGUUUCUGUGGAGCAAAUGAAGGAGAAAAACAACUGACCGGGCGGGGGGUGGGAAGACAAAGCAGGCGACGGGAAACGUUGGUUUUAUGGAGCUUGCAAACCUGAACUCAAAUAUUAAAAAUGCUUUCAUCAGUCUCCUUAAUCCAGAGAAAUUCUUUUUGGCUUAGAUGGGAGGAAAAAUCAGUCCCUUAAGGGGAAAGCGAGAGGAGAAGGAGGUAAGGAUAUGAGUCAGAUUCACGGAAUUGCCGGCAAAUGACUUCGUUUUAGGAGGUGGAGGGGGACUGUUCGCAGCUGAUCCAAUG